AAUUUCCCUCCCUCAAAUUAUUUCAUAUUCCCGCUCAUUCAAUUAACCCUUCAUCAAUUUCGCUCUCAUUCUCCCCAAAAAAACCAAUUUCCCCCACUCUAAUUUUUAUCUCUCCAAAAUCUCGUCAAUUGGCUUCACUCUGUUUGAAUACGACCAGUUCACGACUGCACCGACCAAAGACGAUUGUGCUCCUGUUUAAAUCCCGACAUCAAUUUGGCGUUCAAAUCCUCUCCAAAUCAAAGCUUGAGAAAUGCGAAAGGUCUUCGGACGGUCCUCUCAACUGCACCUCAAAAAUCGUCAUCAAUAUGGCGGUUCCUAGGGUAUGUUUGGCAAAAGUAGCUGUUGGCUGUUAGCUGAAAGCUGGAAGCUGGUAGCUAGUGGCUGGAAGCUGGUAGCUGUAGCUUUUUAGAUACAUUUGGUGUUUGGUAGAAUAGCUGGAGCUUUUAAUAAAAUGUAUAAAAUUACCAAAAUGGACAUAACUAAAAAUUUAGAAAGUUGGUGCAUUAAAAAGUUUCUUAUUUUGAGAGGUUAAAAUAGUCAUUUUUCCCUAAAAGCUUGUAGCUCCUUCUAAACGCUACUAGUAGUAGCGUUCAACCAAAAGCUUCAAGCUCCUAACCUAAAAGCUUAAAGCUCCUUCAACCAAACAAGACUUUUUAUUAAGUAGGAGCUUUUUCUUAAAAGCUAAAAGCUAGAAGCUCCUAAAAGCUCCAUGCCAAACAUACCCCUAGUCAAGCAGUAACUCACUCAAUCUCUCCUUUAUUAUAUAAAUCAUAUAAUUCAGAUUUUGUUUUGUUUGUAGAGUGGUAAAGAAGCGUCCAUUGUGGUGCGAGUGGAUGAGGUGGAAGAGAAAUCGGAUGACACAAUUAAAACGCUUCGGGAUCCACCUGUGAUUACUGUUUACAAAUCUGCAGCGUACGCGCUGCAUGAUCUGACUUAUAUUAGAGAUGUCCCUUAUAAACCUGAAGAGUUUCAUGUUAAGACGCGCAAGUGUGAGUCUCAUGCUGGUGCAAAUAUUGUUGGGCAAUGUGUGAGCUUCAGAGAUGAUCAAGGAUGUGUAAUCGAGCAUACUCAGGAAUUAGUUAAGAUGUAAACAAAACUUUACAUGGAGCAAAUGCUAGUUUUGGUUAAAGAAUUGGAAUAUAUAAUCAUGGUUUUAGCAAAGGGAAUACAUGAACUGAGGAGCAGAUUCUCGCCCAGCAAGUGAUGAUGCGGCUCCAAUCAACUUUGGUAUACAUGAUUUCAGAUUGAUGGAAGUGUUCCAAACACACGAGUUACAGCAAAUUGUGGUGUAGUGAAGCCAAAAGUUGCUGCAGCUGAAUAUAUAUCUCAAGUUGAAUAUAGUGAAUUGGCUGACGCGGCGACAAUAAGGAGUAAGUGCAGGGAACAACUAUGAAGUGGGAAAUACGAUCGCUAAGAAAGAGUUAACACAAUGAAUAUUUUACUCGCAUGAAGAUUGUGAAAGAGAUUCAUGAACGCAAUGGAGUUUUGAGUUUUUGUUCAAACAUUUUUUAAAUACUUGUUUUGUAUGUUCGAUAUUUAGAUUUAGGUUGACACUUAUUAGUUAUUUCUUUGCAAAUAUUUGGAAUCUUUGGAAGAUGAUUGAUUGAACUUUUUAAGUGAAUUGAUUAUAUUAUUAUGAUU
This 1641-nucleotide long non-coding RNA is filed under the name Helianthus annuus (common sunflower). RNAcentral's name for it is "hypothetical non coding rna". The record is from RNAcentral. Lineage: Eukaryota; Viridiplantae; Streptophyta; Magnoliopsida; Asterales; Asteraceae.